This 253-nucleotide ribosomal RNA is filed under the name uncultured bacterium. RNAcentral describes it as "partial 16S ribosomal RNA". It matches the Rfam family "Bacterial small subunit ribosomal RNA", at positions 524 to 776 of the family's 1533-position model. The record is from RNAcentral.
UACGUAGGUGGCAAGCGUUGUCCGGAAUCAUUGGGCGUAAAGCGCGCGCAGGCGGUCCUUUAAGUCUGAUGUGAAAGCCCACGGCUCAACCGUGGAGGGUCAUUGGAAACUGGGGGACUUGAGUACAGAAGAGAAGAGUGGAAUUCCACGUGUAGCGGUGAAAUGCGUAGAGAUCCGGAGGAACACCGACGGCGUAGGCAGCGCCCUGGACGACACCUGACGCUGAGGCACGAAAGCUGGGGGAGCGAACAGG